Molecule: ribosomal RNA, 785 nt
Filed under: uncultured Glomus
Lineage: Eukaryota; Fungi; Glomeromycota; Glomeromycetes; Glomerales; Glomeraceae
Description: SSU rRNA
Rfam family: Eukaryotic small subunit ribosomal RNA
Source: RNAcentral
AUGGUAGGAUAGAGGCCCACCAUGGUGGUAACGGGUAACGGGGUGUUAGGGCACGACACCGGAGAGGGAGCCUGAGAAACGGCUACCACAUCCAAGGAUGGCAGCAGGCGCGCAAAUUACCCAAUCCCGACACGGGGAGGUAGUGACAAUAAAUAGCAAUACGGGGUUCUUUAGGAUCUCGUAAUUGGAAUGAGUACAAUUUAAAUCUCUUAACGAGGAACAAUUGGAGGGCAAGUCUGGUGCCAGCAGCCGCGGUAAUUCCAGCUCCAAUAGCGUAUAUUAAAGUUGUUGCAGUUAAAAAGCUCGUAGUUGAAUUUCGGGGUCAGUAGGUCGGUCGUGCCACUGGUAUGAACUGGUUUUACUGAUUCCUCCCUCUUGAAGAACUGUAAUGCCAUUAAUUUGGUGUUGCAGGGAAUCAGGACUGUUACUUUGAAAAAAUUAGAGUGUUUAAAGCAGGCUUUAGCUUGAAUACAUUAGCAUGGAAUAAUGAAAUAGGACGUUUGAUCCUAUUUUGUUGGUUUCUAGGAUUGACGUAAUGAUUAAUAGGGAUAGUUGGGGGCAUUAGUAUUCAAUUGUCAGAGGUGAAAUUCUUGGAUUUAUUGAAGACUAACUACUGCGAAAGCAUUUGCCAAGGAUGUUUUCAUUAAUCAAGAACGAAAGUUAGGGGAUCGAAGACGAUCAGAUACCGUCGUAGUCUUAACCAUAAACUAUGCCGACUAGGGAUCGGAUGAUGUUAAUUUUUUAAUGACUCAUUCGGCGCCUUACGGGAAACCAAAGUGUUUGGG